CUGAACACACUUGGUGAAUUGUAGUGAUCAGCUAGGUGGCCCUUGAUCUCAAAAUAAGAAAGCUUGUCCACAUUGAUCCAUGACUCAGCAUUGUCUCCAACGUAGAACAUAGCGCCUCCCACCAUAGUAAAUGUACCACCAAAGUGGAAUCUUAUGCAAAUGUGUUCAUCCAUCCUGUUUCCAUCAACAUACAAGCCAUCAGAAGAACACAACCACUUGAAAAAUCAAAUUUUUUUAAACCCUAGCUAACAAUCGCAGCAACCAAAAGGAUGAACAUCAACAAAAAUAGUCACACCAUGCCCAUCCACUACGCCCAGAACACCUCUACGACAACACUUCACCCUAAAUCGCCGCCACCCAGAAAACCCCAAUUCCCCCCAAACC
Molecule: long non-coding RNA, 384 nt
Filed under: Sorghum bicolor (sorghum)
Lineage: Eukaryota; Viridiplantae; Streptophyta; Magnoliopsida; Poales; Poaceae
Description: long non-coding RNA (SBIC_LNC017917)
Source: RNAcentral